GACAGAGGGGGCAAGCGUUGCUCGGAUUCAUUGGGCGUAAAGGGUGCGUAGGUGGCGCGCUAAGUCAGGUGUGAAAUUUCGGAGCUUAACUCCGAAACUGCAUUUGAUACUGGCGUGCUUGAGGACUGGAGAGGAGACUGGAAUUCACGGUGUAGCAGUGAAAUGCGUUGAUAUCGUAAGGAACACCCGUGGCGAAAGCGGCUCACUGGGUCUUCUCUGACGCUGAGGCACGAAAGCGUGGGGAGCAAACAGG
RNAcentral lists this ribosomal RNA (253 nucleotides) under uncultured prokaryote. RNAcentral describes it as "partial 16S ribosomal RNA". It matches the Rfam family "Bacterial small subunit ribosomal RNA", at positions 524 to 776 of the family's 1533-position model. The record is from RNAcentral.